Molecule: ribosomal RNA, 387 nt
Filed under: uncultured bacterium
Lineage: Bacteria
Description: bacterial SSU rRNA
Rfam family: Bacterial small subunit ribosomal RNA
Source: RNAcentral
UUCUAGUGCGACGGGUGAGUAACACGUUGGAACCUGCCCCAAAGUGAGGAAUAAGCCACCGAAAGGUGGUCUAAUACUUCAUAAUAUCCAUCUCGUAUGGAUUAAAGCUUUAUGCGCUUUGGGAGGGGCCUGCGUAACAUUAGCUAGUUGGUGAGGUAAAAGCUCACCAAGGCUUCGAUGUUUAACUGGUUUGAGAGGAUGACCAGUCACACUGGGACUGAGAUACGGCCCAGACUCCUACGGGAGGCAGCAGUAAGGAAUCUUCCACAAUGGGGCAACCCUGAUGGAGCAAUACCGCGUGCAGGAUGAAGCGUUUCGGCGUGUAAACUGCUUUUAUCACCGAAGAUUAUGACUGUAGGUGAAGAAUAAGGACCGGCUAACUACGUG